RNAcentral lists this ribosomal RNA (159 nucleotides) under uncultured bacterium. RNAcentral describes it as "partial 16S ribosomal RNA". It matches the Rfam family "Bacterial small subunit ribosomal RNA", at positions 354 to 509 of the family's 1533-position model. The record is from RNAcentral.
UGAGGGAAUAUUGGUCAAUGGGCGUAAGCCUGAACCAGCCAAGUCGCGUGAGGGAUGAAGGUUCUAUGGAUCGUAAAACCUCUUUUAUGAGGGAAUAAAGUGCGGGACGUGUCCCGUUUUGUAUGUACCUUAUGAAUAAGGAUCGGCUAACUCCGUGCC